AUUGAACGCUGGCGGCAGGCCUAACACAUGCAAGUCGAACGGUAACAGGAAGAAGCUUGCUUCUUUGCUGACGAGUGUCGGACGGGUGAGUAAUGUCUGGGAAACUGCCUGUUGGAGGGGGAUAACUCCUGGAAACGGUAGCUAAUACCGCAUAACGUCGCUAGACCAAAGAGGGGGACCUUCGGGCCUCUUGCCAUCUGAUGUGCCCAGAUGGGAUUAGCUAGUAGGUGGGGUAACGGCUCACCUAGGCGACGAUCCCUAGCUGGUCUGAGAGGAUGACCAGCCACACUGGAACUGAGACACGGUCCAGACUCCUACGGGAGGCAGCAGUGGGGAAUAUUGCACAAUGGGCGCAAGCCUGAUGCAGCCAUGCCGCGUGUAUGAAGAAGGCCUUCGGGUUGUAAAGUACUUUCGGCGGGGAGGAAGAGAGUAAGGUUAAUACCUUGGCUCAUUGACGUUACCCGCAGAAGAAGCACCGGCUAACUCCGUG
RNAcentral lists this ribosomal RNA (490 nucleotides) under uncultured bacterium. Its description in RNAcentral is "partial 16S ribosomal RNA". It matches the Rfam family "Bacterial small subunit ribosomal RNA", at positions 30 to 507 of the family's 1533-position model. The record is from RNAcentral.